Molecule: transfer RNA, 70 nt
Filed under: Eutetrapha metallescens
Lineage: Eukaryota; Metazoa; Arthropoda; Insecta; Coleoptera; Cerambycidae
Description: tRNA-Lys
Source: RNAcentral
CAUUAGAUGGCUGAAAGUAAGCAAUGGAAUUUUAAACCAUACUAUAGUAUCUCACACCUACUUCUAAUGG